This 73-nucleotide transfer RNA is filed under the name Candidatus Woesebacteria bacterium. Its description in RNAcentral is "tRNA-Ala". It matches the Rfam family "tRNA". From Rfam's summary of the family: Transfer RNA (tRNA) molecules are approximately 80 nucleotides in length. Their secondary structure includes four short double-helical elements and three loops (D, anti-codon, and T loops). Lineage: Bacteria; Candidatus Woeseibacteriota. The record is from RNAcentral.
GGGCCGUUAGCUCAGUUGGUAGAGCGUACGCUUCGCAUGCGUAAGAUCACCGGUUCGAUUCCGGUACGGUCCA